Molecule: unclassified non-coding RNA, 391 nt
Filed under: soil metagenome
Description: partial contains 5.8S ribosomal RNA, internal transcribed spacer 2, and large subunit ribosomal RNA
Rfam family: 5.8S ribosomal RNA (bases 1-122)
Source: RNAcentral
GAUGAAGAACGUAGCGAAAUGCGAUACUUGGUGUGAAUUGCAGAAUCCCGUGAACCAUCGAGUCUUUGAACGCAAGUUGCGCCCGAAGCCAUUAGGCCGAGGGCACGCCUGCCUGGGCGUCACACGUCGUUGCCCCCCCAUCUACUCCUUCGGGAUUGCGGGGGGCGGAUGAUGGCCUCCCGUGCGCCACGCCGCGCGGUUGGCAUAAAUGCCAGGUCCUCGGCGACGCACGCCACGACAAUCGGUGGUUGCGAAACCUCGGUUGCCCGUCGUGUGCGGUCGUCGCGCAUCGAGGGCUCGAAAAAAUUGCCGGGUUCCGGCUCGGCUUUCAACGCGACCCCAGGUCAGGCGGGGUUACCCGCUGAAUUUAAGCAUAUCAAUAAGCGGAGGA